GUGAACAAUUAAGGGCGCGCGGUGGAUGCCUAGGCUCUCGGAGGCGAUGAAGGACGCGAUAAGCCGCGAUAGGCCACGGCGAGGUGCAAGUAACCCUUGACCCGUGGAUUUCCGAAUGGGGCAACCCGGCCGUCUAGAUGACGGUCAUGCAGUAAUGCAAGCGAACGCGGGGAACUGAAACAUCUCAUUACCCGCAGGAGAAGAAAACAAAAUGUGAUUCCCCCAGUAGUGGCGAGCGAACGGGGAAGAGCCCAAACCGUUGCCGUUUCGGCGACAGCGGGGUCAUGGGACCGCGACAUUCGACGGAAGACGAAGUGCAAUUACCUGGAAAGGUAAGCCGUGGAGGGUGACAGCCCCGUGCACGACACCUCUUUCGAAGAUAGCGGUAUCCCGAGUAGGGCGGGACACGAGAAAUCCUGCCUGAAUUCGCCAGGACCGCCUGGCAAGGCUAAAUACUCCCGAGAGACCGAUAGUGAACCAGUACCGCGAGGGAAAGGUGAAAAGUACCCCGAGCAGGGGGGUGAAAUAGACCCUGAACCCGCGCGCCUACAAGCGGUCGGAGCCGGGUAAUCCGGUGACGGCGUGCCUUUUGCAUAAUGAGCCUACGAGUUAGUCGUCACCAGCGAGGUUAAGGGCUUCAGGCCCGUUAGCCGAAGUGAAAGCGAGCCUUAACAGGGCGUCGAGUUGGUGGCGCUAGACGCGAAACCUUGUGAUCUACCCACGAGCAGGUUGAAGUCGCGGUAACACGUGAUGGAGGACCGAACCGGUAAACGUUGAAAAGUUUUCGGAUGACUCGCGGGUAGGGGUGAAAGGCCAAUCAAACUGGGAAAUAGCUCGUACUCUCCGAAAUGCAUUUCGGUGCAGCCUGUGAUGUUCUGUUCCAGAGGUAGAGCUACUGGUUGGACGCGAGGGCUUCACCGCCUAUCAAAUCCGGAUAAACUCCGAAUGCUGGAACACGAAAUCAUGGAGUGAGCCCGCGGGUGCUAAGGUCCGCGGACGAGAGGGAAAGAACCCGGACCACCGGCUAAGGUCCCGGAUGGACAGUUAAGUUGAUCAAACGAGGUGGGAUCGCGGAGACAGCUAGGAUGUUGGCUUGGAAGCAGCCAUUCAUUUAAAGAGUGCGUAACAGCUCACUAGUCGAGCGAUCCCGCGUGGAUAAUACACGGGCAUCAAACUGUCAACCGAAGCCGUGGGGUUAGUGAUGAGCUAACCGGUAGGAGAGCAUUCCUGCCAGCUUAGAAGGUCACCCGCGAGAGUGACUGGAGCGGCAUGAAAAGCAAAUGUAGGCAUAAGUAACGAUAAUGGGGGCGAGAACCCCCCACGCCGCAAGACCAAGGAUUCCCCGGCAAUGUCAAUCAGCCGGGGGUCAGCCGGCCUCUAAGGCUCACCCGAAAGGGGAUGCCGACGAGAAACGGGUUAACAUUCCCGUGCUUCUCGUCACCGUGACGCGGUGACGGGGUGAUGAAUGGACCGCGCGCUGACGGAAUAGCGCGUUGAAGGCCGUACCCUUUGACGGUGGUAGUCAAGCACGCCACCGGAGGCGAGAGCCGAUAGUACCACGAGACCCCGGUCGAGUGGAUAGCGUCCAGGCAAUUUACCCCCUAGAAAACCCGCUAAACUUCAAGUGACGAGGAACCGUACUGUAAACGGACACACGUGGUCGGGUAGAAUAUACCAAGGCGCUCGAGUGAUUCAUGGUCAAGGAACUAGGCAAAAUAGUCCUGUAACUUAGGGAUAAAGGACGCUCUAGUGAUAGAGCCGCAGAGUAAUGGCCCAGGCGACUGUUUACCAAAAACACAUGGCUAUGCCAAAUCGAAAGAUGACGUAUAUGGCCUGACACCUGCCCGGUGCCGGAAGGUUAAGAGGAGAGCUCAUCGGAAACGAGAAGGUUUGAAUUGAAGCCCCGGUAAACGGCGGCCGUAACUAUAACGGUCCUAAGGUAGCGAAAUUCCUUGUCGGGUAAGUUC
RNAcentral lists this ribosomal RNA (1967 nucleotides) under human gut metagenome. RNAcentral's name for it is "bacterial LSU rRNA". It matches the Rfam family "Bacterial large subunit ribosomal RNA", at positions 1 to 1983 of the family's 2925-position model. The record is from RNAcentral.